RNAcentral lists this ribosomal RNA (253 nucleotides) under uncultured bacterium. RNAcentral describes it as "partial 16S ribosomal RNA". It matches the Rfam family "Bacterial small subunit ribosomal RNA", at positions 524 to 776 of the family's 1533-position model. The record is from RNAcentral.
UACGAAGGGGGCUAGCGUUGCUCGGAAUUACUGGGCGUAAAGGGCGCAUAGGCGGAUAUUUAAGUCAGGGGUGAAAGCCCGGGGCUCAACCUCGGAAUUGCCUUUGAUACUGGAUAUCUUGAGUUCGGGAGAGGUGAGUGGAAUGCCGAGUGUAGAGGUGAAAUUCGUAGAUAUUCGGCGGAACACCAGUGGCGAAGGCGACUCACUGGCCCGAUACUGACGCUGAGGCGCGAAAGCGUGGGGAGCAAACAGG